This 370-nucleotide long non-coding RNA is filed under the name Brachypodium distachyon (stiff brome). Its description in RNAcentral is "long non-coding RNA (BDIS_LNC003742)". The record is from RNAcentral. Lineage: Eukaryota; Viridiplantae; Streptophyta; Magnoliopsida; Poales; Poaceae.
CACUUAUAAACUAUUACUUUGUCUAAGAAUUCUGGACUGUACAGAAAAUAUGCAUAGCUGUUCUGGACUGGACUGGACUUGGUUUAUUCUGGAGUAGUCUCAGCCUAAUCUACUGUGGGCACAAGAAUUCCUUGUAUCGUUGGAACAGUGUUCAAGACUAAGGCUAAGACUAAAGGAAAGAAAAACAUAAUACAAAUUUCUAACAAAAAUCUGCUUUGGAACAGAUUUUUAAAAUCUAGCAGACAUCAAAAACUGAAAAAAAAAUUACAGAAUAUCUGGGGAAGCAGAUUAUGGGAUCAUCUAAAACACACAUGAUAAAAAUCUGCCUUGGAACAGAAUUCAAAAUUACCUUAAGAAAAUACAUAGUAGU